CGGCCGGUCAUCGCCGCAGUCAAUGGGUUGGCCCUAGCGGGCGGCCUGGAGUUGGUGCUGUGCUGCGAUCUGGUUAUCGCAGCGCGGUCAGCGAAGCUUGGUGACGCGCAUGCCAAUUUCGGUCUGCUGCCGGGCGGCGGCAGUUCGGUGCGGCUGCCUCGAAAAAUCGGUCCGACCCGUGCGAAAUAUCUGCUGUUUACUGGCGAUUUCGUGCCCGCCGACGAUCUGGUUGCCUGCGGUCUCGUCAACGAGGUCGUCGA
RNAcentral lists this unclassified non-coding RNA (260 nucleotides) under Hevea brasiliensis (rubber tree). The record is from RNAcentral. Lineage: Eukaryota; Viridiplantae; Streptophyta; Magnoliopsida; Malpighiales; Euphorbiaceae.